RNAcentral lists this long non-coding RNA (558 nucleotides) under Cottoperca gobio. RNAcentral describes it as "lncRNA (ENSCGOG00000010324.1)". Lineage: Eukaryota; Metazoa; Chordata; Actinopteri; Perciformes; Bovichtidae. The record is from RNAcentral.
GUAGUUAACAGCGCUGUUUCCAUGGAGACUGAAGUAUCUCCUAGACGCGAAUGGAUCUUUUCGACUUCUUUGGCCUGUUAGCAAAUAUUAAAUUAAACGGCAUAUUAUAUAGAUAAACAGCAAGUAUAGUUAUUGUCGAUAAUAAUAGCAACUUGAGGGAACUUUCUGACUUUAAAUGGAGGUAAAUAAAUGUAAAAGUUUAAUGCCAACGAGUCGCUGACGUUAAAAAUGGAUGCUUAUGAGAAUAACACAAUUAUGCUUGAGCUAAAUAAUCAAGUCAUCACUUAUACUGAUGAAGAAGAGCAGGAGAGUUUUUCAUUUCACGAAGACACGGACUCGGAUGAAAUCCCCCAAUCCCUGCUCAGCUACUUUGAAACCUCAAAAAGCAGAGCAGCAGUUUGUGAGAAGCUCAUCCUUGAGGAACUUGAAGAGAUGGAAGCACUUUUCCUCCUCAAUGUGUCCGUGUGUCCCAACAAUGAAGGUACAGUGUGUAAAUUCCAUCUAUUUCCUCUCUUUUCCUUUUUUCCUUGCACUGUUGAGGCCUUGCUGAAGGUCUGA